Non-coding RNA from Macaca mulatta (Rhesus monkey), 1749 nucleotides. The record is from RefSeq and is a predicted model, not a curated record. Lineage: Eukaryota; Metazoa; Chordata; Mammalia; Primates; Cercopithecidae.
GGCUCAAGCAAUCCUCCCAUCUCAGCCUCUCAAAGUGCUGGGAUUAAGGCAUAAGCCACCAUGCUUGGCCUCGGUAUUUGCUGCUCGGUCAAUAUUUAUUCCUAUAAACUUCCCAAUGAAAGGAGAUUUGAAGGGUGGUUUUAACCUUCUUCUUUAUCUUAGGUGAUCAAUCACCUCAAUUUGCCCUGGACUGUGAGGUUUCUGGGAUGCUGGAUUUGGGAUGCUAAAACCAGAAUAAGUUGGUCAUCUCAUCUUUAUCUUCCCCCUAAAUAUCCAGUAUAAUCUACAUCAGUGCUUUAAAAUGGAAUUUGUGUUUUAUGGGCAUUAGCAAUUCAGAAAUGUGCCUACACAGGCAAACAGAAAGAACAGGGGAGUCACAAAUAGGCUUAGCCACAUACAGGUGAUACACUCACACUUAGAGUGUUGGGCACCAAUAGGUGAAGUUCCGGAUUAAGAAGAGAAUUAUAACUGAGCAGGGCAUUGGAAGACAUCCUCUUAUGGAACCUGAGAAGCCUAACCCAAACUAUUUGCCGCCAGGUCACCUACCUCUGAAGCGGUCUUGACGGUGGAUGGUUAGAAAUCAGCAUAAGUUUAAUAAAGCUGGUUCCCGUUAUCACAUGUGAAUACAUAUCCUGAAUUAUACCUAACAAACUUUGCAGCUUCUACUUUGGAAAUUCCUUCUACAGUCUAUCCAGUGACUCCAUUCACAUGCUCCUGUCUUGUCAUCGAGCCCUGUUCAUCUCUUACCAUCUUUCACCUGGACCGUUGCCAGUUUCUGAGCUGCCUGCUCUUGAAUGCCGGCUUCCUGAAAAUAUCACCAAAACAAUCUGAUCAUAAGACAAAGCGGAGUCUAUUGCUCACUGAAGAAACAGAGAGCUCCGUCUUUAGAGUCUUGGUAACAUUUCGGUGAGAGGAUGACCCGAUCGCACUGUUUAGGAGGUUUCGGAUGCUGAUGAAGGAGAACAACAACGAACCAGUGGCACAGGAGAGAGGAAAGCCUUCCCCAGGAAUCUUUCCUCAUAACUUUGCAUGGUAGGUGGGCUGUGGGGAGAGACGUGAUUCAGUACUGCUGUGUCACUUAACAGUUGAAUCUGCCUGGAGUGCAAUGGCAGAGGAUGAAAAGUUGCCUACUAUAAUUGUUACAGCCAUUUAAGAACGUUUCCCUCCACCUGGGCACUAUUGACAUAUUGGGCUAGAUAAUUCUUUGUUGUGGGAGUUGAGGCUGUCCUGUGCAUUAUGAAUGUUUGACAGCAUCCCUGGUCUCUACCCAUUAGAUGCCGGUGGCAACCCCAGCCCCACCCCAAGGCACCAUCAUUGUGAUAAAGAUGCCUGCAGACAUUGUGAAAUGUCUCUCGGGGGGUAAAAUCAUCCCUGCUUGAGAACUCCUGAUUUAUAGGAAUAAUUUCAUUUCCAUCACAGUGCCUGUCUUGGCAGAGUGUUUACUAUGUGAAAAUUACGGAGUAGGUACAGCUUUACCUAGGUGAACCAAAUAUUCAUGAUUACUGCUCAUAUGGGCCUUAAAUCUGAUGAGUGAAAAGAUGGAUGGGUGAAUGCAGGAUGGCUCAAAAAGCAGAUGUGAUUUCUCUUAGGAAUCAACCAGUGUUAAAAAAAAAAAAAAAGUCACCCAGCCUACUUCCUUUCUAGUCAAUCACAGGAGGUUAAAAACAAUCCUUGUGUGAGGCAGGCCAAGGAGUCCCCCAUUAGAUUCCAUUAACCCAGGAAAAAAAAAAGCAGUAAUAUUGGCCAGGC